This 1567-nucleotide long non-coding RNA is filed under the name Homo sapiens (human). Its description in RNAcentral is "non-protein coding lnc-SH3GLB1-1:1". The record is from RNAcentral. Lineage: Eukaryota; Metazoa; Chordata; Mammalia; Primates; Hominidae.
CUUUAUCUGUAAUGAGGUUUCUCUCUCAACUGUUUACCAAAGUAUUAAAAAGCACUUUGUAGCGCCGGCUGGUAUAUUCCAUCAAAGAGAGUCAAUAGAACAGAUGAAGACAUAUGAGAAAGUCAGGAGAUAAGGUGCCUUUUAUGAAAGUUCAGAUUCCAGACCUAUUAAAAAGAACCGCUUCCCCCUCUGUGAAUUCAGGGACAAAAAAAACAACCUUUUCCUCUUUGGCAGUAAGGUGGUUUCUCAUAGGGUAGGACAGCACCUGGCAGGUUUUCCCAGAGUCUGAUCGAGGUGAAUAAUUAAUUGUAGUCAUUAAUGUCCGGGUGGUAAGAAAUUGCCAGAAUUGUAAGAUCCUAAUAGGCCAUUAGCAUCUCUAUACUGGAUGCACUUUAGUGGACUCUUCCUCUGACCAGCAGCGAUGAAACACUGUUCUGUUCUUGCUCAGGCUCUGUCUCCAGCUAUUCUGGAAGAGUCGGUCACAUUCAGAUGUUGAAAGGUACAAGAUAGGGAGUCCGAGGAGCAGACCCUGCUCAAGAUUUUGACACUAAAUGCUGUGUGACCUUAAAUGAGCCAUUAAAUCUCACCACUAUAUAAUUUCUUCCCUUACAAAGUAGGGAGGAACUAUCUCAUGCUGAUAACUGUUCUGAUAGGAAAUCUGUUUUGAUAUAUUGUGAUUUUUACCUAAGAAUUAAGUAUGGAUAUUUUGUUGCAUUAUAGCCUCAGUCCUGUUUGUAGCUGUCAUUCAACAGUAUGAGGGCCUACUAUGCCUGUACUUGUGGUAGGGAGGAAGACAAGACAUAUAAACCUGCAAAGUGAAAUAAAAGGCACAGCCCUGUUGGAAUGGGAAGCCAAAUUUCUACUCCUCAUUCAAAACCUCAUGAAAUAUCUCUCCCUGACUGCCUCCCCAGCUAUCUUGGCAAACAGUGCAUUCCAUAGAAGAUCAGGGCCUUUAUCACCUCGUGCAGUCAUCUGUCUUUUCAACCUCCUCUGACAGCCUGUUAUCUUCUAAAAGAAAGGACAGUGUCCUGCUCAUUUCCUUAUUCCCCCAUCCCUAGCAUAGUUCCUGAAAUAUGGUAGGCAUGCAAUAUUUCUACAUAAGUAAAUGGAUGGAGUGAAUAAUAAAUGCCAAAUACAGACCAUAAGAUACAAAAGAGAGGCAGCCAUGGUGGACAGAGCCCUGAAAUAGGAGCCAGAAGAUCAGGGUGCAAAUCAUCAACUUAUUAUUCCAUGAAACUCUGACUUUGGGCUCUCUGUGACCCAGUGUCCACAUCUGAAAAGUGCUAAUGCCCAAACCAAACAGGGUUAUUGUGGGAAUUAGGUAAAAUGCUCUAAACAAAAUUUAGCUCCCUUAUCUUGUAUUCCUUUUCCCUAAAUAGUUGGAAUACAACACUGGAGUCCAAGUUGCAACCCGAGGUGCAACUACAGGUUUCUAGGUUAUCCAAGAAGGAAGAAGUUGUAAACCACAGGAGUAGAUGAAUUCUCAAGGAGAAAAUGAAGAGAAAGAGGCUGAUAACAAUAUCCAAAGGAAUAUACACAAUUACAGGGCUGCAGAGAUCAUGAGCUA